AAGACUACACUUUCAGGAAUCUUUUCUACAGUUUGUUACUAGAGAAUUUUCUCUGACUGUAGAGUACUGGAAGCCAUGAGGAAGAGGUAAGGAGUUCUCUUCUGAGAGUGAAGCUGCCCUUGGGUGUUGUUUUAUUACAACUGCCUAUCACAACUAAUGAUUGCUUUCUCCAUUUGGGAGAGUUAGAAGGAGAGGACACAGUCUGAGUAGA
This is a small nucleolar RNA of Jaculus jaculus (lesser Egyptian jerboa), 211 nucleotides long. Its record names the gene U3. It matches the Rfam family "Small nucleolar RNA U3". Rfam says of the family: Small nucleolar RNAs (snoRNAs) are involved in the processing and modification of rRNA in the nucleolus. There are two main classes of snoRNAs: the box C/D class, and the box H/ACA class. The record is from Ensembl. NCBI's taxonomy places the organism in Eukaryota, Metazoa, Chordata, Mammalia, Rodentia, Dipodidae.